GCUGCUGGUGGGCUUGCACGGUCAGCGCGAUUCCUUCCACCUCUGGAUCGAACCUGUGCAUCGGGUUUUUUUUUGUGCCUGGCUCUAUCAAAUGUGUUCCACUCGACGGUUUUCUUCGCACCGGCCGAGCACCCCCAUGUUCUAGAAGCUUCUCCCUUGCGUGAAUGUAGCAAUAGACUCCGGCAGUUGGGAUCUCCUGGCAGCGAAUCAUAACAAAUUUUGUCCCAAAAUCUAAUCUCCGUAGCGAAGCUGUCAUUGUUUGUUGCGAUUAUCCCGGUAGAUUUCGACUCAGACUCGAUUCCAUCCUGCGAUUAUAAAAGUCCAGCCACCAUAGCCAUGCGAGCAGCGCACGUCGGAGAGGGAGCUCGGGUGUCGUCGAGUGCGGAACCAGGGAGCCCCGUCGUCCGGGGGGCUUCACCGCGCCGCGCUGGUCAGGUCCGUGGCUUUGGCCGGGCAGGUUUUCGCCCAGAAUUGCGGAUUGGGCGGACCUUCUGUCACGGAGCUUCUUCUCGUCGCGAGCCGCACCGAUUGUGCCCGGAUUCGUGGUAAGUCUUUGUUUAUCGAGUUCUAGGCUUAGCCCGGAGUCGAUUGUCGACUUUUAGCCGCGGGAUUGGUGCGUCAGGGCACGGAUUUGGUUUGCUCCGGCGAGGUCGCGGCCGUCGAUUUGGGCGGCGCUGCCUCGGGUGGAUGUUGGGGGGAAGAUGGUGGUUGUCCGUUAGAUUACGAUCCAACGGAUAUGAUUGAUCGGGAGCGAAGGGGUGUCCUGAGCCGUUGAUCGAUAGAUGGGCGGCACGGAUUAGAUCUCUGCGUACCCCCUUCGGCCAACACAUUUGCUAAAGCGCCCCUGCUCUAUAUAGUAAUCAACCCGCGGUACAAUCCUGAGUCUUGGAACUAUUUGCAUAGUAGACCCUGUGCUCUAUGGAAUUCACAGCCGCGGUCCAGUCAGUUAUUAAAUAAGAGAAAACAUAAUCAAAAUGAAUUUCUUAUAUAAAAACAAUUCCAGAAUCUUGUUAAAUCCAUAGAAAAUUCAUAUUAAGUCCGAAUUGACCCAUUCUUGUUUCUAUAAUUUUGUAAUAUUAUUGUCUAUCGGCUAGUGUCUCUGGUUUGACAUGAAAACUAUAUUAAAAAUUAAUCUCUCAAUUAAUCUUGUAUCAAAUACAUAAACCUUUGGAAAUUUCUAACGUCCCCAUUUUAACUCCGUUUUGAUCCAUUCUAGUUUCAUUAGUCUCACCAUAAUAUUUAUUAUCAUCUGGUAACUUUGUUUUGUCAUGAGAUAUAGGUUAAAAUGUUGCACUUAGUCUAUUAUAUACUUAACCGUGGAUCUUCUAUAAAUCAUAACUCUUUAACCGUAAUUCCGAAUUUAGUGGUUCUUGUUUCCACGAUCUCGUAGCGACGCGUAGCUUAUUCUUACACAGUUAGUUCUUAUGAUUGAUGUGAUGUUAAUUUUGUCUAUACCAUGUUUGUUUGUAUUGCUACGACUAGCAGUGAGGUUACGAAUCUCGAAGAGCAAGUUGGUACCUAGAAUCUCAAGUCCCAGGCAAGUUGUGCCCUUGAUCACUUCUUUUACCCAGUCAUGUUCUUAUUAAUCAUAAUGAUCUGCAUAGGUUAAUUUUGAUGGGACCCAAUAGGAUACCCUAGAUUUUGACUAUCUUUAUACCUUGCUUCACCACUGGUUUUACUACUAAGUUUUUGGGUAGUACAUGCUAUUGCUUUAUGUGGAUUUGGGUAUAGAGAUAUUCAUCACUCAUUUUUACACUUGUUAUUAUCUGUUCAUUAUUUUAUGUUCAUGAUAAGAUCAUUAUGUUAAUGGGAACAUGGAGAACCACCCAGGAAAACAGUGCUACCACAAGGGUUUAUGGACGCCCUUGGCUGAUUAAUUAGGAAAGCUAGUGGAGGACUACCUUACCCGAAAGGGGCAAGGGCAGUAGGGGAGUGGUCAGUGUAGGGAGGUCCUUGGUUGAUUUUGCUGCGAUGGCGGUCAGGCAAGAACCCUGCACUGGAGCUUCCUAUAAACUGUAGCGGGUUUUCUGAAGCUAGUGGAACUUUGUAAAGGCCUCGUAGUGGUACCCUGCCUCGCUUCCUUGGUAGAGGUGUAUGGAGUCUGAUCAACUCUGUGGCAAAUGGGUAACACGACUUGUGGGUAAAGAUGCGCAACCUCUGCAGAGUGUAAAACUGGUAUACUAGCCGUGCUCACGGUCAUGAGCGGCUCGGACACUCACAUGAUUAAAUUAUGGAACUUAAACUCAAUUUGUCAUAUGCAUUGCAUCGCAGGUGAGGUUGUUACUUUUGUUCUACUACUUAAUUGGGUUGGUAUUUACUUAUACUUAGUAAUUGCUAAUAAAAUUUUGACCAACUUUAAAAGCAAUGCUCAGCUCUAACCAUCCUCUUUGGUAAGCCUUACACUUCACGUGAGCUCCCACCUUUGGCGAGUUCAUGCACAUUAUUCCCCACAACUUGUUAAGCGAUGAACGUAUGUGAGCUCACUCUUGCUGUCUCACACCCCCCCACAGGUCAAGAACAGGUACCAUAGGAUGAGGCGCGUGGAGGAUGCUGCGAUGUGUUCGUGAGAGGUCUAGGUCGUCGUCUCCCAGUCAACUUUGGUUUGCUGGACCGUUGUCUCCUUAUAAUGUAAUUAUUUAUUUUGUACAAAACUCCUAUUAUAUAGUAAAGAUGUGACAUUCGAUCAUGUGC
This 2691-nucleotide long non-coding RNA is filed under the name Zea mays. RNAcentral describes it as "long non-coding RNA (ZMAY_LNC000211)". Lineage: Eukaryota; Viridiplantae; Streptophyta; Magnoliopsida; Poales; Poaceae. The record is from RNAcentral.